This 1343-nucleotide ribosomal RNA is filed under the name uncultured bacterium. RNAcentral describes it as "16S ribosomal RNA". It matches the Rfam family "Bacterial small subunit ribosomal RNA", at positions 28 to 1378 of the family's 1533-position model. The record is from RNAcentral.
GACGAACGCUGGCGGCGUGCUUAGCACAUGCAAGUCGAACGGAAAGGCCCUGCUUUUGUGGGGUGCUCGAGUGGCGAACGGGUGAGUAACACGUGAGUAACCUGCCCUUGACUUUGGGAUAACUUCAGGAAACUGGGGCUAAUACCGGAUAGGAGCUCCUGCUGCAUGGUGGGGGUUGGAAAGUUUCGGCGGUUGGGGAUGGACUCGCGGCUUAUCAGCUUGUUGGUGGGGUAGUGGCUUACCAAGGCUUUGACGGGUAGCCGGCCUGAGAGGGUGACCAGCCACAUUGGGACUGAGAUACGGCCCAGACUCCUACGGGAGGCAGCAGUGGGGAAUAUUGCACAAUGGGCGGAAGCCUGAUGCAGCAACGCCGCGUGCGGGAUGACGGCCUUCGGGUUGUAAACCGCUUUCGCCUGUGACGAAGCGUGAGUGACGGUAAUGGGUAAAGAAGCACCGGCUAACUACGUGCCAGCAGCCGCGGUGAUACGUAGGGUGCGAGCGUUGUCCGGAUUUAUUGGGCGUAAAGGGCUCGUAGGUGGUUGAUCGCGUCGGAAGUGUAAUCUUGGGGCUUAACCCUGAGCGUGCUUUCGAUACGGGUUGACUUGAGGAAGGUAGGGGAGAAUGGAAUUCCUGGUGGAGCGGUGGAAUGCGCAGAUAUCAGGAGGAACACCAGUGGCGAAGGCGGUUCUCUGGGCCUUUCCUGACGCUGAGGAGCGAAAGCGUGGGGAGCGAACAGGCUUAGAUACCCUGGUAGUCCACGCUGUAAACGGUGGGUACUAGGUGUGGGGUCCAUUCCACGGGUUCCGUGCCGUAGCUAACGCUUUAAGUACCCCGCCUGGGGAGUACGGCCGCAAGGCUAAAACUCAAAGGAAUUGACGGGGCCCCGCACAAGCGGCGGAGCAUGCGGAUUAAUUCGAUGCAACGCGUAGAACCUUACCUGGGUUUGACAUGGAUCGGGAGCGCUCAGAGAUGGGUGUGCCUCUUUUGGGGUCGGUUCACAGGUGGUGCAUGGCUGUCGUCAGCUCGUGUCGUGAGAUGUUGGGUUAAGUCCCGCAACGAGCGCAACCCUUGUUCACUGUUGCCAGCACGUUAUGGUGGGGACUCAGUGGAGACCGCCGGGGUCAACUCGGAGGAAGGUGGGGAUGACGUCAAGUCAUCAUGCCCCUUAUGUCCAGGGCUUCACGCAUGCUACAAUGGCUGGUACAGAGAGUGGCGAGCCUGUGAGGGUGAGCGAAUCUCGGAAAGCCGGUCUCAGUUCGGAUUGGGGUCUGCAACUCGACCUCAUGAAGUCGGAGUCGCUAGUAAUCGCAGAUCAGCAACGCUGCGGUGAAUACGUUCCCGGG